This 492-nucleotide ribosomal RNA is filed under the name uncultured bacterium. RNAcentral's name for it is "partial 16S ribosomal RNA". It matches the Rfam family "Bacterial small subunit ribosomal RNA", at positions 29 to 507 of the family's 1533-position model. The record is from RNAcentral.
AGUGAACGCUGGCGGUAAGCCUAACACAUGCAAGUCGAACGGCAGCACAGUAAGAGCUUGCUCUUACGGGUGGCGAGUGGCGGACGGGUGAGGAAUACAUCGGAAUCUACUUUUUCGUGGGGGAUAACGUAGGGAAACUUACGCUAAUACCGCAUACGACCUACGGGUGAAAGCAGGGGAUCUUCGGACCUUGCGCGAUUGAAUGAGCCGAUGUCGGAUUAGCUAGUUGGCGGGGUAAAGGCCCACCAAGGCGACGAUCCGUAGCUGGUCUGAGAGGAUGAUCAGCCACACUGGAACUGAGACACGGUCCAGACCCCUACGGGAGGCAGCAGUGGGGAAUAUUGGACAAUGGGCGCAAGCCUGAUCCAGCCAUACCGCGUGGGUGAAGAAGGCCUUCGGGUUGUAAAGCCCUUUUGUUGGGAAAGAAAAGCAGCAGGUUAAUACCCCGCUGUUCUGACGGUACCCAAAGAAUAAGCACCGGCUAACUUCGUG